Molecule: long non-coding RNA, 500 nt
Organism: Lutra lutra (Eurasian river otter)
Lineage: Eukaryota; Metazoa; Chordata; Mammalia; Carnivora; Mustelidae
Exons: 3
Source: RefSeq, a predicted model, not a curated record
GCCGCUGGUCCGAGGUUUGGGGGCUCGGCGGCCUGCGGCGGAGCGCCCUCCCCCUGCGCCGGCGGCUGGCUGCGCCUGCGGGGCCGGGGCUCGCAGUCUGGAGAGAGGAGCCGGUCGGAGCGAGUCUGGUUGUACGUUUUUGGCAGAAUACUACAGAAAUUAUACUGUGUCUUUGUCGGUGCAUAGUAUCCAGCCGGAUGGCAGCCUGUCCCAACUUGGGUGCUGUCAGCUUUGACCACUUGGCUCAAGGUUUUGUUUACCAGGCUUCUCCACCUUUUUUAUGCUUGUAAGUAGAGCAAUCCGCUGUGUUUUUGGCCAGUUCUAAGCAGAUCAGACCAUGUCACGUUCACACAAACUCCUUCAAGGCUUCCUGUUACCCUGGGUGUAAAUCUAAGCAUUUCCAUGGCCUGUGGGCCAAGGUGCUAAUUUGGCACAACUCGUUUGGCUCCCUGCUCAGUGGGGAGCCUGCUUCUCCUUCUGCCUCUCUCUGUCUCUCAUGA